UGAAAGCUGAUAUAAGUCUUUUGAGGUACAGCCUGGCACAAAAAGGAUGAGAUUUGUGGGCAGAAUUUUGGAAGAAUAUCUCCCGAGAGAACAUUCAGGACAGAUUGCACUGCUUUGGAGAGCUGGUGAUGAAAUCCGGCCAUUGAAUUACACUGCACUAUAAACUUCAUUUGUUCUUGGGUGCAUAGUGAUUUGCUAUAAUAAUGAUCAUCCAUUUGCCAGACAGCUGAGAUUUUUUAAAAGCUUGAUUGCUUUUGGCAUGGCAUUAUUAGUCCUGGAAGAAGGCAGCACAUUUGUAGCAAUUCUCAGCUUGAGCAAACUAGAAUAUUCACCUCCCACAAAUGCUGGCCAUUUAAGAUCUGUGUGUUAGACUUUGGCAUUUUUUCUAGCAAUUCUACAACAGCAUACACACUUUUAUUUUUCAUUAACACCAUUGUGAAUAUGCCCAUCUCUAAAAUUUCAAGGGGGUUCACUUAAGCUACUGAGUUUUAUGGACAGAAGGGCCAAGAAAAGUCCCCAAAGAAGAGUGCAUGCUGUCAAUUGCCAAUUAUUUUUUUUUCUAAUGAAAGCCAAACAAUUCCAGACAAACCCUUUUCUAAGAAAUGAACUACAUAUCUGGAUCCAAAUAAAUACUCAUCUGAUAAGAAUCUAAAAGCUCUACUGAAUUACAGUGGAUGAGAACAUGAUGAUGGUGAUUCUUUGAAGAUUACUGAGGAAAUCAACUCUCAUGUCUGAUUCUGAUACUUUUAUAGUCCAUCCAUGUUGAAAAUGUCUAUGGAAUGAUUCUGUUGUACCUUGAGAAAUGAAAUUCAUAGGCAUGGAUUCUCUCACACAGCAACUUUAUACACAAAGAUGAGAAUAGAAGAAAGGUCAUUUCCAAAGAAAGUGACAUUUAUUCUGUAUUCACUGAAAAGCCAAAAGAAUUUUCUCAUUCACCCAUACCGACAGAGCCCUACAUCUCCCCGAGAAGAGGUGAAAGAGACUGCUCCUAUCUGCUUCUGCAUCAAACUUCAGGCUCAAGACCUGUCCAGAAAAAAAAAUGUCUUCUUUCAGGGAUGAACUGCUGUCCUCAUCAGACGCCUUAUUUUGUUUAGAAUUCAAGCUCACUUGACAGGUUAUUGUGAAGAUUAAAUGAAUUAAUACAUGUGAAGCAACUGUAACAACUCUUGACAUGCGUGGGCUGGACUUCCAGAAGAAACGUUGUCAGAACUCUGCCCAACUGAAAACAAGCCUACUAAAAAUAAAUAAAUAAAUAAAAUUUUAAAAAA
This 1268-nucleotide long non-coding RNA is filed under the name Homo sapiens (human). RNAcentral describes it as "novel transcript". Lineage: Eukaryota; Metazoa; Chordata; Mammalia; Primates; Hominidae. The record is from RNAcentral.